This 253-nucleotide ribosomal RNA is filed under the name uncultured bacterium. RNAcentral's name for it is "partial 16S ribosomal RNA". It matches the Rfam family "Bacterial small subunit ribosomal RNA", at positions 524 to 776 of the family's 1533-position model. The record is from RNAcentral.
UACGGGGGGGGCAAGCGUUGUUCGGAAUUAUUGGGUGUAAAGGGCGCGUAGGCGGUGAUUUAAGUGAGAUGUGUAAUCCCCGAGCUCAACUUGGGAACUGCAUCUCAGACUGGGUCGCUAGAGUGCUGGAGAGGGUGGUAGAAUUCCACGUGUAGCGGUGAAAUGCGUAGAGAUGAGGAGGAAUACCAGUGGCGAAGGCGGCCACCUGGACAGUAACUGACGCUGAGGCGCGAAAGUGUGGGGAGCAAACAGG